ACGCCGAAGCGGGGGUACCGCACUGGCGGUUGAGACACACCCUUCGAACCUGAUGCGGUUGAGACCGCCGUAGGGAAGCUUCGCCGGAUGCGCA
RNAcentral lists this non-coding RNA (94 nucleotides) under Lysobacter sp. RNAcentral's name for it is "TPP sequence". It matches the Rfam family "TPP riboswitch aptamer (THI element)". Rfam says of the family: Vitamin B(1) in its active form thiamin pyrophosphate (TPP) is an essential coenzyme that is synthesised by coupling of pyrimidine and thiazole moieties in bacteria. The previously detected thiamin-regulatory element, thi box was extended, resulting in a new, highly conserved RNA secondary structure, the THI element, which is widely distributed in eubacteria and also occurs in some archaea. RNAcentral also lists the same sequence under 1 other name. Lineage: Bacteria; Pseudomonadati; Pseudomonadota; Gammaproteobacteria; Lysobacterales; Lysobacteraceae. The record is from RNAcentral.